RNAcentral lists this long non-coding RNA (395 nucleotides) under Callithrix jacchus (white-tufted-ear marmoset). Its description in RNAcentral is "lncRNA (ENSCJAG00000081101.1)". The record is from RNAcentral. Lineage: Eukaryota; Metazoa; Chordata; Mammalia; Primates; Cebidae.
AUGAGCUCAUCCACACUGGGCUAUGCUGGGUCACUUCUACUUCUCCAGCUGGCACAAAUGAUCACUGACCAGAACCAAAUCCAGCCGGCCGCUGGAGGAAGAAGCCCUCCUCUCAGCUUUAUAACAAGAUCAGGUGAUGCUCAUGACUUCAGUAUGUGGACGGGCCAUGAAGCCUUGACUAAGGCCACCUACUAAAGGGUUAGGGUGGUAUGGUGCCACCCCAAAACAGAGUCAAGGUCUCGCUAAGUUGCCCAGGCUGGUGGUGUACUUUUGGCCUUAAGGAAUCCUCCUGCCUCAGCCUCUCGAAGUGUUGGGAUUACAGGCAUGAGCCAAUGGCCUGGCCUGUCUUUCUUAUUCAUGGUACAAUUAACGUGUUUUCAAAAGAAAUUGUGGUG